AGAGAGAGAGAGCACUCCACAGCUCCGAAAUUGAAGGGGACGAAAUUUUUGUAUACGUAGUUGGAUUUCAUAGAUCUCGUCUCUUCUGGGUAUGUAUCUAUUUAUCUAUCUAUGCAUGUCUCUUUUUCAUUUUCCUUCUCUUCUUCAUUUAUAUAACCCUUUUUAUUCCUUACUUUCUCUCUGAAUUUCAAGCUUGUGAUUUUGUAUAGUUUUUACAUUUUCGGUGACCCUUUUGACUUAUUUAGUUUUAGCUUCAGCUCAAUGAUGCUACUGUUUCAGUUUCAGCUUAAAGUUUGAGUUUUUAACUUUUGAUUUCAAUUUUUGUGUUGACCCUUCUUGUGAAGUUUUGUGUUGGAAAAUUGAGCAUUUUUUAGAGUUUGUAUCAAAGAUGUUAACUUUUUAGCUUUUGUUGAUAUGGGGGAGGUUUUGCUGGGUUUUUUCUGUUGUGGGUCGUGAAUUCUAAUUGUUGUUAAUGUUGUAUUUUUCUAAAUAAAUGUUAAUUGGUUGGUUUAUAAUUUAUUGUAAUUUUUUUUUUCAGACAUGAUGACAUAUGGGUUUUUUCUUCCAUGUUUUAAGUUUUUUGAAAGCAUUGAUUUUUAGGGUUUUACUUGAUAUUUAGAGAUGUUAAUGUGAUAAAAAUUGAACUUUUGAUUCUGUUUCCCAAUUCACUUAUGUUAGCUAUAAAGGUGGUAAUUUAAUUUUAGUUAUAUAUGUUAUCUUAGUGAUUAAUCAGGAAAAAUUAAUCUAAUUUAAGUUCUGAUUUACAACUCCAUUUUUUAGGGUUUAGGGGGGUGGGUGGGAAAGGUUACCUAUGCUAGGGAAAGGAUGUUACAUAUACAGAUGAUAAUUUAAUUGUAGCAGUAAUUUGAUGAUAUUUGAAGUAGACCUAUAAUAUAGAUUCUUUGCUAUUUAAGUCCAAAAUCCUUGAUGGUGCUAGCUAGUCAUCAUCAUGUAUCUCUAGAUAUGAAAUUGAAUUCAACUUUCUGUGGUUCUGCAUUAAAAUCAUGUCAUUUAUGAAUUCUAAUUGCAGAAAGAAUGCUAAAUUCUACAAGUUUUGUAUAUGAAUGUUCUUUUUUUAAUGACAAAUGUUAGUAAUUAGUUGUUAAAUUGAUUUUUUCUCCUUUGUCCGGGUUUUAACGCAUACAAGAAGUUUACCUAGUUCUAAUUUGACUUAGGUUGGCUAAAAGUUACCUAGUUUAAGUUUCUUAGACAUGGAAACAGUGUGCCUAUUCCAUGAGGCUGGACUUUUUCCUAGAGAUACAAACGAAGGAUGAAAGAAAGAUGCUUUAGAUAGAGAAGAC
RNAcentral lists this long non-coding RNA (1301 nucleotides) under Medicago truncatula (barrel medic). RNAcentral describes it as "long non-coding RNA (MTRU_LNC008147)". The record is from RNAcentral. Lineage: Eukaryota; Viridiplantae; Streptophyta; Magnoliopsida; Fabales; Fabaceae.